RNAcentral lists this ribosomal RNA (507 nucleotides) under uncultured bacterium. RNAcentral describes it as "partial 16S ribosomal RNA". It matches the Rfam family "Bacterial small subunit ribosomal RNA", at positions 28 to 507 of the family's 1533-position model. The record is from RNAcentral.
GACGAACGCUGGCGGCGUGCCUAAUACAUGCAAGUCGAACGCAUUUUCUUUCACCGUAGCUUGCUACACCGAAAGAAAAUGAGUGGCGAACGGGUGAGUAACACGUGGGUAACCUGCCCGUCAGCGGGGGAUAACACUUGGAAACAGGUGCUAAUACCGCAUAAUUCCAUUUACCGCAUGGUAAAUGGAUGAAAGGCGCUUUUGCGUCACUGAUGGAUGGACCCGCGGUGCAUUAGCUAGUUGGUGGGGUAACGGCCUACCAAGGCUGCGAUGCAUAGCCGACCUGAGAGGGUGAUCGGCCACACUGGGACUGAGACACGGCCCAGACUCCUACGGGAGGCAGCAGUAGGGAAUCUUCGGCAAUGGACGCAAGUCUGACCGAGCAACGCCGCGUGAGUGAAGAAGGUUUUCGGAUCGUAAAACUCUGUUGUUAGAGAAGAACAAGGAUGAGAGUGGAAAGUUCAUCCCUUGACGGUAUCUAACCAGAAAGCCACGGCUAACUACGUG